This 2880-nucleotide ribosomal RNA is filed under the name Bacteroidota bacterium. RNAcentral's name for it is "Bacteroidetes bacterium (activated sludge metagenome) 23S ribosomal RNA". It matches the Rfam family "Bacterial large subunit ribosomal RNA". Lineage: Bacteria; Pseudomonadati; Bacteroidota. The record is from RNAcentral.
UAAGAAAGUAAGUAAGGGCGCAUGGCGGAUGCCUUGGCUCUCAGAGGCGAUGAAGGACGUGAUAAGCUGCGAUAAGCUUCGGGUAGGUGCAAAUAACCUUUAAUCCGAAGAUUUCCGAAUGGGGAAACCCUCUUGACUGAAGGUCAAGAAUCUCGAAAGAGAAGCAAACCCGGAGAACUGAAACAUCUAAGUACCCGGAGGAAGAGAAAACAAUAGUGAUUCCCUAAGUAGUGGCGAGCGAACAGGGAAGAGCCCAAACCAAGGUUGUUAAGGCAAUCUUGGGGUUGUAGGACUGCAAUAUCUUAAUAAAUAGAAAGUGGAACAUUCUGGAAAGUUUGGUCAUAGUGGGUGAUAAUCCCGUACACGUAAUGAUUUAUUAAGUAGCAGUAUCCUGAGUACCGCGAGACCGGAGAAAUCUUGUGGGAACCCGCCGGCACCAUCCGGCAAGGCUAAAUACUACUGAGAGACCGAUAGUGAACUAGUACCGUGAGGGAAAGGUGAAAAGAACCGCGAACAGCGGAGUGAAAUAGAACCUGAAACCAUGCGCUUACAAGCGGUUGGAGCGGCUUCGUGCCGUGACAGCGUGCCUUUUGCAUAAUGAGCCUACGAGUUACUCCUCUCUAGCAAGGUUAAGUCAUAAAGUGACGAAGCCGAAGCGAAAGCAAGUCUGAAUAGGGCGUAUAGUUAGAGGGGGUAGACGCGAAACCUUGUGAUCUACCCAUGAUCAGGUUGAAGCCUCGAUAACACGAGGUGGAGGACCGAACCGAUAAGCGUUGAAAAGCUUCCGGAUGAGUUGUGGGUAGGGGUGAAAGGCUAAUCAAACUGGGAAAUAGCUCGUACUCUCCGAAAUGUUUUUAGGAACAGCCUCGAGGUCGAGUAUUAUAGAGGUAGAGCUACUGAUUGGACUAGGGGGCUUCACCGCCUACCAAAUCCUGACAAACUCCGAAUACUAUAAUACAUACUCGGGAGUGAGGCGUUGGGUGCUAAGGUCCAGCGCCAAAAGGGAAAGAACCCAGACCAACAGCUAAGGUCCCCAAAUCUAUGUUAAGUUGAUCAAAUGUGGUCCGAUUGCUUUGACAGCUAGGAUGUUGGCUUGGAAGCAGCCAUUCAUUUAAAGAGUGCGUAACAGCUCACUAGUCGAGCGAUUGGGCGUAAAUAAUAAUCGGGCAUUAAACAUAGUACCGAAGCUUUGGAUUCUUCGUAAGAAGAGUGGUAGGAGAGCAUUCCUGCAGCACCGAAGAUGUGGCGUAAGCCAUGUUGGAGCAGCAGGAAAAGCAAAUGUAGGCAUAAGUAACGAUAAUGCGGGCGAGAAACCCGCACACCGUAAGACUAAGGUUUCCUGAUCAACGCUAAUCGGAUCAGGGUUAGUCGGGUCCUAAGGCGUAUCCGAACGGAAAAGUCGAUGGACAACAGGUUAAUAUUCCUGUACCAGCAUUUAUUGCGAUGGGGUAACGAAGGAGUGAAAGUUCUCCGUACUGACGGAAUAGUACGGUAAAAGGUGUAGAUUAAGUUGUAACAGGCAAAUCCGUUAUAAUUCUCGAACCCAAUAGUACCGCGAGUCCUCGGACAAGUGGAUAUGAACCUAAACAAACUUCCAAGAAAAACCUCUAAGCUUCAGAUAGAUGCUGCCCGUACCGCAAACCGACACAGGUAGUCGAGGAGAGAAUCCUAAGGUGCUCGAGUGAAUCAUGGCUAAGGAACUCGGCAAAUUAACCCUGUAACUUCGGGAGAAAGGGUGCCCCGCGCAAGCGGGGCCGCAGUAAAAUGGCCCAGGCGACUGUUUAUCAAAAACACAUGGCUUUGCUAAAUCGAAAGAUGACGUAUAAGGCCUGACACCUGCCCGGUGCUGGAAGGUUAAGAGGAGAUGUUAGUCGUAAGGCAAAGCAUUGAAUUGAAGCCCCAGUAAACGGCGGCCGUAACUAUAACGGUCCUAAGGUAGCGAAAUUCCUUGUCGGGUAAGUUCCGACCUGCACGAAUGGUGUAACGAUCUGGGCACUGUCUCAGCCAUGAGCUCGGUGAAAUUGUAGUAUCGGUGAAGAUGCCGAUUACCCGCAACGGGACGGAAAGACCCCGUGCACCUUCACUAUAGCUUAACAUUGACUUUGGAUAAAUAAUGUGUAGGAUAGGUGGGAGACUUUGAAGCAGCUUCGCCAGGAGUUGUGGAGUCAACCUUGAAAUACCACCCUUUAUUUAUUUGGAGUCUAAUCUCGAAAGAGAGACAUUGUUUGGUGGGUAGUUUGACUGGGGUGGUCGCCUCCAAAAUUGUAUCGGAGGCUUUCAAAGGUACCCUCAGCACGCUUGGUAACCGUGCGUAGAGUGCAAUAGCAAAAGGGUGCUUAACUGUGAGACCUACAAGUCGAGCAGAAUCGAAAGAUGGAUAUAGUGAUCCGGUGGUUCCGCAUGGAAGGGCCAUCGCUCAUAGGAUAAAAGGUACGCCGGGGAUAACAGGCUGAUCACCCCCAAGAGCUCAUAUCGACGGGGUGGUUUGGCACCUCGAUGUCGGCUCGUCACAUCCUGGGGCUGGAGAAGGUCCCAAGGGUUAGGCUGUUCGCCUAUUAAAGUGGCACGCGAGCUGGGUUCAGAACGUCGUGAGACAGUUCGGUCCCUAUCUGUUGUGGGCGUUAGAAGUUUGAGAGGACCUAUCUCUAGUACGAGAGGACCGAGAUGGACAAACCACUGGUAUACCUGUUGUGACGCCAGUUGCAGUGCAGGGUAGCUAAGUUUGGAUGAGAUAAGCGCUGAAAGCAUCUAAGUGCGAAACUUACCUCAAGAUUAGACUUCUUCUAAGGGUCGUCAUAGAUGAUGACGUUGAUAGGUUGUAAGUGUAAAGACAGUAAUGUCAAAGCUGAGCAAUACUAAUUACCCGUUAGCUUUCUUAGU